GCUUGCUGGGGGGAUUAGUGGCGAACGGGUGAGUAACACGUGAGUAACCUGCCCUUGACUCUGGGAUAAGCCUGGGAAACUGGGUCUAAUACCGGAUAUGACUCCUCAUCGCAUGGUGGGGGGUGGAAAGCUUUUGUGGUUUUGGAUGGACUCGCGGCCUAUCAGCUUGUUGGUGGGGUAAUGGCCUACCAAGGCGACGACGGGUAGCCGGCCUGAGAGGGUGACCGGCCACACUGGGACUGAGACACGGCCCAGACUCCUACGGGAGGCAGCAGUGGGGAAUAUUGCACAAUGGGCGGAAGCCUGAUGCAGCGACGCCGCGUGAGGGAUGACGGCCUUCGGGUUGUAAACCUCUUUCAGUAGGGAAGAAGCCGCAAGGUGACGGUACCUGCAGAAGAAGCGCCGGCUAACUACGUGCCAGCAGCCGCGGUAAUACGUAGGGCGCAAGCGUUAUCCGGAAUUAUUGGGCGUAAAGAGCUCGUAGGCGGUUUGUCGCGUCUGCUGUGAAAGACCGGGGCUCAACUCCGGUUCUGCAGUGGGUA
RNAcentral lists this ribosomal RNA (542 nucleotides) under Arthrobacter sp. AL14. RNAcentral describes it as "bacterial SSU rRNA". It matches the Rfam family "Bacterial small subunit ribosomal RNA", at positions 78 to 632 of the family's 1533-position model. Lineage: Bacteria; Bacillati; Actinomycetota; Actinomycetes; Micrococcales; Micrococcaceae. The record is from RNAcentral.